AGCUCCAAUAGCGUAUAUUAAAGUUGUUGUGGUUAAAAAGCUCGUAGUUGGAUCUCGGCGGACUGAGGGCGGUUUGCUUGCUAGUAUUACUGCCCUAUAGUCCGUAGUUUUGCCAGAGGUUUCGGGGUGCUCUUAAUCGAGUGUCCCGGGAUGCUGGCAGGUUUACUUUGAAAAAAUUAGAGUGCUCAAAGCAGGCUAUUACGCCUGAAUAUUCGUGCAUGGAAUAAUAGAAUAGGAAGUCGUUUCUAUUUUGUUGGUUUUCGGAAAUCGACUUAAUGAUUAAUAGGGACAGUCGGGGGCAUUUGUAUUCAAACGACAGAGGUGAAAUUCUUGGACCGUUUGAAGACAAACUACUGCGAAAGCAUUUGCCAAGAAUGUUUUCAUUA
RNAcentral lists this ribosomal RNA (386 nucleotides) under Calanus sp. RNAcentral's name for it is "partial small subunit ribosomal RNA". It matches the Rfam family "Eukaryotic small subunit ribosomal RNA", at positions 587 to 975 of the family's 1831-position model. The record is from RNAcentral. Lineage: Eukaryota; Metazoa; Arthropoda; Copepoda; Calanoida; Calanidae.